GCAGGUCCCCCGGCGGUUCGACUACAACUUCACGAGCCCGAGCAACGCCUCCCAGUCCGUCCGGAUCACCAGCAUAUUCAACGGCCACUGGAACGAGUCCAUGAACUACCUCGGAUUACAAUCUCUCGAGAACGAGGACUUCCGGCGGCUGCUGUGGAAAUUCUUCUCGACGGAGGAUCGGGUCCCGGACGUGAUGAUCCUCAACUCCGGCUUGCACGACGGCUUCUACUGGCGGAGCGUCCGGGCGUUCGCCCAGGGAGCCGACCGCGCAGCAGAGUUCUGGGCGGAGGUCAUGAGGCAUGUGAGGCAGCGCGGGAAGGCGGUGCCGAGGAUAUUCUACCGGACGACGAUUGCGGCGGGAGGGUACGGGAGGUUGCUGGUGUAUAACCCGAGCAAGAUGGAAGCGUUCAACGGCGUGCUGCUCGAGAAGCUGAAGGAGAAGGGGCUGCUGUCGGCCGGCGGCGGCGGCGUCAUCGACGACUUCGACAUGACGUUCCCCUGGCACUACGACCACCGCUGCAGCGACGGAAUGCAUUACGGCCGGGCGCCGGCCAAGGCGGUGUGGAUGGAUAGGCAGAUUGGGCACCACUAUUUUGUGGAUUUGAUGCUAGCCCAUGUACUCCUCAACGCCAUAUGCAGCGACUGAGUGCGACGUCGCACGAUUCCUCCGCUCAACUCCGCGUCUACUGAUCGAAAAUGGGCAGAUGAUGCGUGCCUUCAGCAAUUUUUUUUUUUCUUUUUUGAGAGAUGGAUAGCACGGUAUCCGUCUCAUUUAUUUUAUCUAAAAACUAAAAAUGUAAAUUAAUUAGGAUUCGAAUUUGAAAUCUCGAGUAUCAACUAUCAAAUUUUUUGCCAUUUGCGCUAGUUACAGUCGGUAGCUUCAGCAAUUUUGGCAGCUACCUUAUUGUAGGGUUACUAAGGGCCCGUUUGUUUUGGUGUAAGUGGAGUGAUGGAACUCAAGUUCCAUCACUUCCGUUAUUUGUUUUGGUGUAAGUGAAAAAUAUAAUGUAACUCAAGUUACGUUAGAGCUCCACUUCACCUACUCUCGACUUCCGGCUCUAAAGUACCGAACUCGACUUCCACCACACUCAACCUUCUCUAAACAAUUUAUUAAACAGUAAAAUCUAAACUCUACUUUCUUUAUAAUGGGUUAGAAUUACUUUAUUUAUAAUAAAUUAAAAUUAUCUUUAAAUAAUAAUAAAAAAUUUAAUUAUAUAAUAGGUUAAAUUUUAUAGUGAUAAAUUUAUUACUAUAUUUAGGAGAUAAUGGGAUCCACUUACUUACAUCAAAACAAACAACGGAACUCAAAAAACUAAUUUUACCAGCACCAAGUUACAUCAAAACAAACAGCAGAAGUGAUUGAAUUUAACUUUCAGUGGUACGAGUUACGUCAAAACAAACAACAGAAAAAUAAUCACACUUCAGGGAAACUCAAACACCACUACACUUGACUUACGUUGAAUCUACAAAUUCGUCAAUCCAAACGCCCCCUAAUUGUAUAGAUCUCCUAAAUAUAUUAUUCAUUAAAGAUAACUUUUUUUUCCUCAAUUCAUAUACUUUAUUUCAAACUAUAUACAAAGAAUUGAGCUAAGUUUUAAAAAGUAUGAAAUGAUUAGUACCUUUGCUUUUAAACGAAUCAAAUGCGUUUUAAGAUCUAUAUUUUAUUGACAUGUAGAAACGAAUUUUAGAUAAUAUUUGAAUAAGAUGAACUGAAUUGCCUCAAGAGUGAAAAGUGCUAUACCCACGAACACUUCCACAAAAUAAUUUUCAAAACAUGUUCUUCGAUGGACUUGUGAGAGGCUCAUCAUAAUAAGAGUUGGAGCACUUUGGAUUUUGCUAUAUUAUCUCAGGUUUAUUUCUCUUUACAUAUUUACUCUGAGAAUACGCUUAGUACUUACAAGACUAUCUUUAUUUCCCUUAUAAUUGAGUAUUCCUAAAACUGGGUCAUUUCUACAUACUUUUAAGAUAAGCGAUGACAAAAAAAAAAAAAAAAAAAAAAUUGCCAAUUUGUAUAUGAUGAAGUGCUUUGUAAUAAUCAAAUAACUUUCUUUUCUUCUUUUAAGUUGUUUGUAUUUUUCAGACAUAUGAAUAAAGACUUAAAUAGCAAGAUAAAUUGGAUUGUCAUAUGGCAAUUAUCAAUUUGCUGAAAUAUUCUAUUUUCAAUAAGAGAAGAAAAAAAUGAAAUUCACAUUUUUUUGAAGCUAAAUUAUCUGAGUUUAUAAUUAUUUUUAUUGAACUUUAAUUUUUAAAAUAAAAUGCACUACUCAGAUAAUUUUAAGAGGAAUGCUUCAAUACACCACAAGUAUUAAAAUUUAAUUCCUUAAUUAGUAAAGGGUAUAGUUGGGAUUUACACGAAGUAACCUGUUGAACAGGUUACCGAUUUGAAUUAAUUAACAUGACAAUAUUGAAAAAAAAUUAGUAUAUAUCAAAUUUGUCAGUAUCCUUUAAAUAUUAAAUAUCUUAUUUACUUUGGUAACUUACCAAAUUAGAUUAUACCCAAUUUAUUAAGUAUUCAUCUCAAAAAAAUAUUGAAUUUAAAAUUAAUUUUUGAAAUUAGUAUUGUAAUGUAAAAUUUUAAUUUUGAAAUUUAUAUUAAACUUUUAAAUUUGAAUCUAAAUUGAAUGUUUAAUCUUAAAGCCAAAUUUUAAUUUUUGAUUUAAAUUGAAAUUUUGAAUUGGAACAAAAAGUUUUAUUUUAAAUUUAUGUUUUAUAUUCAAAAAAAUUAAAUUUGAUUUAUAAAGUUUUAAAUGUUGUUUUGAAUUUAAAUUUACAGUUUGGUUGUAAUUUAAAAUUCAACUAUUGUUGUAGGUAUUUAAGAGGGUCACAAUAUUCUUAGUUGGAUAAAACCGGUUUUGUGGACCAAACUAUUUUACAAAGACUAAAAUACCCUUUAAAUAGGUACCUGGUGAAUGGUACCUAUGCUUCAAUAGCAGGUCACAUCUAAAAUCAUAUUAAAUCUAAACCAUCUAUUAAGAAAAAUAAAUGGUCAAGAUUUAUAUGGAGUAUUGAAGUAUUCCUCUAAUUUUAAAUAUUUGAUAGUUUCUUUGUUGCGAUUUCGUUCUGUUUUUUAGCUUCUUUGCUCUUACACCUAUUAUGCGCUUCCAAGAAUUAUUCCCAUCUACUCCAGCAGCAUUAGUUGAAAAAUUAUUUUUUUUGAGUAUUAAGUGAAAAUUGGAGUAUCACAAUGUCGAUGAAUUAAGCAAAAUAAAAAUAUCUUGACUACUUGCAAUGCUCCCUAUCCGCCGCAACGCGCGGAUUCCUACACUAGUUAAGGAUUAUAUAUAUGGGUAGUUAAGAGUUUUGUAUGCUUGUUAAGAUUGUAUACAGGAGAAAGAAACGAUAUAUUGUUUAUCAUUUUAUUUCUAAAUAGUAGGAUAAUAAAUGAUUUACUGCCUUUUAUAUUUUUUUUAUGACAGUUAAUGAUUCAUCGUCUUUCAAUUGUUAUUCUACUCCAAUGCACAACUGAACAGAAUAAAAUUAUUUAGCUAAAUUUAAUAGAAUUUUUUGGCCAAACAUAAAAUUUUAAGAAUUAUUUUUUAAAAAAAUCCUCAUAAUAAACAUUCGAGAUUGUUGUAUUUUAUUACAAUAGCUAAAUUUGCUUUUUUAUAAAAUUAUUUAGCUAAAUUUAACAAAAUUAUUUGGUCAAUUAUAAAUCUCCUAUCAAUACCCACUUUUUUAUUUUCUCCCCUAUCAUUCAAAAAUCUACACUUUACCUUUUUAAAAAAUAAAAAAUAUUUAUAGGGGAUACGAUAUGACAAAAUGAUCAAAUUGUCCUAAUCUUCUUCGUCUCCUCCACAAUCCUGCUCAUCCUGCACCCUCGCUCGCGCCUCCCUCGACCCCAGCUCUGACUCUGUUUCCUCCACCUGCUCACUUGCUCCUCAAGCACCCUCGCCGCCCCUCUAUUUCAGCGACUGUAGGGAGAUCGUGGUGGGUAUGGGUGAAGAGGUGGGCGAGGGCGAGGGUGAAGCGGCCGAGGAGGGUGCGGGCGUGUAUCUGGGCACGGACAGAGGACUGCACGAGUGCGAGUGCAAGGGCGAGAGCGGCGCGGCGGAGUAGGGUGAGGCGGCGCGGCGAGGAUGUCGGUAAGGAAGGAUGAGAAAGAUGAAGGUUUCAGAAGUAUUUUGGGUAUAAAAAAUAGAAUAUAAAUGGAACUCGGGGCUGAAGUAAAUAUUUUUUUUUUUUUUAAGAGGGCAAAGUGUAGGUUUUUCGAUGAUAGCAGGGGAAAGUGAAAAAGAGAAUAUUGACAGAAAAAUUUUCUAUAAUUUAGCCUAAAUUUUGUAAUAAUUAUUUUGAAAAAAAGGUCCUUGCAACGAAAAUUCGAGAUUGUUGUAUUUUAUUACAAUAUUUAAAUUUGACUUUUUUGUAUAAUUGUCAGCGUGUAGUAUCAUCCAUAUUUUCUUGCAUUACUUAUAAAUCAGUGAGUCUGGGGACUUUUUUCGAAAAUAACCCUCUGAAAUUUUGUAAUUGGCAAAAUAACCCUCUGAAAAUUUUAUUUGGAAAACUAACCCUACUUUCGCCACGUCGGCGCCAGGUCGGAUUUUCCUCGUAAAGACGGUGAAUCGUUCACCGUCUAUGCGAAUUUACUCAUGAAGACGGUAGAUGGUUCACCGCCUUCAUGAGACGGUGAACUAUUCACCGUCUUUAGAGCGAAUCCAUCCCCGUCUUUAGAGCGAAUACAACACCUUUGGAACUGCUGUGCCCUCAACUUCGGCCCGAACUUUGGCCAAGGUGAUAAAACACAGAUAAGACGGUGAACUGUUUACCGUCUUAUUUGUCCUGCACUAAAGACGGUGAACAGUUAACCGUCUUUACCACGGCCAAGGUAAGACGGUGAAUCGUUCACCGUCUCCAAUGUUUUUUAUGAAGACGGUGAACAAUUCACCGUCUUACCUUGGUAUACCCGAACCCCCGACACCUCUCCCUCACUCUUCGCUCUCUUUCUCUCUUAACUCUCUGUCUCUCUCUCCCUCCGCACCCCGACAGUCGCCGCCGCCCAAGCCGACGUCGCCGCCGCCCAAGCCGCCGUCGCCGCCGCCCAAACCCGAAGCCCCGACACCUCUCCCUCACUUUUCGCUCUCUUUCUCUCUGAACUCUCUGUCUCUCUCUCCCUCCGCACCCCACCAGUCGCCGCCGCCCAAGCCGCCGUCGCCGCCGCCCAAGCCGACGUCGCCGCCGGUCGCUGUCGAGCCACCGAGCCUUCCCCCGUGCCACAGCAACCCACAUUGCAAGUAAUAUUCUAUCUUAGCAAUUUUCUAGAUUUAAACCUAGUUUAACCUUGUUUAACCUAGUUUAAUCUAGUUUAAGUAGUAUAAACCCUAAACCCUAUAAUCCCUAAACUAGUUUAGCUAGUAUAAACUCUAAACUCUAAACUAGUUUAACUAGUAUAAACCCUAAACCCUAAACCUAGUUUAAACUAGUUUAAACUAGUUGAGUAUAAACCCUAUACUAGUUUAACUAGUAUAAACCCUAAACCCUAAACUCUCUAAACUAGUUUAACUAGUAUAAACCCUAAACCCUAAACUCUCUAAACUAGUUUAACUAGUAUAAACCCUAAACCCUAAACCUAGUUUAAACUAGUUUAAACUAGUUGAGUAUAAACCCUAUACUAGUUUAACUAGUAUAAACCCUAAACCCUAAACUCUCUAAACUAGUUUAACUAGUAUAAACCCUAAACCCUAAACUCUCUAAACUAGUUUAACUAGUAUAAACCCUAAACCCUAAACCUAGUUUAAACUAGUUUAAACUAGUUGAGUAUAAACCCUAUACUAGUUUAACUAGUAUAAACCCUAAACCCUAAACUCUCUAAACUAGUUUAACUAGUAUAAACCCUAAACCCUAAACUCUCUAAACUAGUUUAACAAGUAUAAACCCUAAACCCUAAACCUAGUUUAAACUAGUUUAAACUAGUUGAGUAUAAACCCUAUACUAGUUUAACUAGUAUAAACCCUAAACCCUAAACUCUCUAAACUAGUUUAACUAGUAUAAACCCUAAACCCUAAACUCUCUAAACUAGUUUAACUAGUAUAAACCCUAAACCUAGUUUAAAAUAGUGUAAACUAAACCCUAAACCUUAAACCCUAAACCUAGUUUAAAGUAACCCCAAACCUUGUUUUAAUUGUGGUAUCUUGUUAUAGUUUCUUGUUUAUAUGGAGAUUAUGUAGAUUUUGGUGAAAAUAUAGUGUGGCAUGUUACUUAGCCAAUGUAUCUAUUUUUUUACAAAUCUUGAUUAGUUGAGCAUGAAAUAAGGUAUCUGCCUAAAUUCCUAAUCAGAAUAUAGUGUGGCAUGUAAGUGGUUUUGGUGAAAAUAUAGUGUGGCAUGUAAGUGGUUUUUCCUUUAGUGUUUAGAGUAAUAAUCAAGAAAUAGACCUUUCGAGGAAGAAAUGGACAUGUAUCAAACUUAUAAAGGUUCAACUUUAUGACUUCAUCUUUUUUUUCACAGAUUCAAUUUACCCUAGUAACACUCCCUUUAUUUUCUUGUUGCAAAUUUUCUAUCAUUUAGUUAUCAUUUCACUUAGGUUUAGUUUUCGCUGAUGAGAACAUGGAGAAUGUUGUUGAUUUAUUUUUCUGUGUAGUUAAAAUGGCUAGUCGUCGGAUGUCUCUUAGUGUUCAUUGGGAUGGACAGUUAGAUAUUGAUGGGAAUGGUCCUCGAUAUUUCGGUGGUCGAAAGAAAUUGAUUGCGAUUCGUUCAGAUACGACCUAUGCGAAUUUUGAGAGGAGAAUGUAUCGUUUAGUAAAUUGUAAUAGAGAAGAAUGUUGUCUUAAAUACACAAUUCGAUGCCCUACGGGAGCAAAUGAAUAUAUUGCUCAUGAUAUAGUAGAUGAUGAAUCAUUGGAGGGAUUAAUUGGAUUGUUUGAACAUUAUGGAUGUGUGUCGCUAUAUAUAGAGAAAGAUUUAUGUCCUUCAGAGACACAAUAUCAGUCGCAAGGUUAUUACACAAGCCUGCUAUAUAAUGAUAUCGAUGUGGGAUUUUCGGAGAAUCCAAUUGGUGACCGUGAAGUUGAUAAUGAACAAGGCGUAAGAAUGACAAGGUCAGUAAUAUACCUCAAGAUUGCGGUGAAUAUCUUUUAAAUUAUGAAAUUCUUUCAAUAUUCAACCGUAUUAAUGCAUUCUGCUGACUAUUAUUGGCUUUUUCACAGAUUACAUGGCGGCCGUACACAGAUGCUGUAUUAGAGGUGCUACCAGCAUUCUGUGUACAGGGCAGUGAGGUAUGGCGAUCGCGGACCACGCUGAUUUAUUUUCAUAUCGUCGAGCUUCACGUGCCCGAUCAAGUCCCUCGGCAGUUUGGUCUCCUGCAGCAUAUACCUAUUCAUGUGGAGACCAUCCGUCGCUUUACAUCUCAGGGGCGGCCAGAUGAGCAUUGGGGCCACUUUCAUGCUGCACACAUCGAGAGAUGGGGACAGCGAUUACAGUCUAUUAUUGACCAGCAUCUGAUUGUCGGUGAUGAUCCAGUACAGGCGACCUCGAUUUAUAUGGAGUGGUACUGGCAGAUCACGAGACGAUGGAUUUCUCGUCCAGUACAGCGUCCACCAUUGACUUACCAGCCUCGUGGCCAGACCGAGAGAGCUUUGGUACGAUCACUCAGCCCAUUUAUUAGUUUUUUAAUAUUUUGUAUAUUAUAGAUUGCCAAAGGUGAGUUAUUAUCUAUAAUGCAGGUGGACGCUAUACGACAGACACAGUAUAGCAUCAGGAGCCUAGUUCAUGAUCGACCUUCUUAUGAGGCGAUGAUUGAUGUAUUGACGGGUAUCGAUAUUGAUCUUGAGAGUGUACUGGAGUACAUUCCUACUAUACCUGUCGCCACUGAUAUCAGAGGUCGAGAUUUUGGACAUGCAUCGACAUCGGGUCAUCACCACCGUCAGACACCGACAUCUGCUGGAUCUCCAUCUCCUAGUGAUGUUGCUGAUAUACCCGCCGCCCCUGAGAGAUUUCCUACUAGGCCAUUGGACUUGGACUUGCUUUUGCCGCCGCCAGUCUCUAGAGAUCACUUUACAUUCGUCUAUUCUCGACGUCAUGCCGCGUCUUCAUCACAAGCCCGCCCAACAUCUAGACCAGCCACUAUCGAGGAGACUCAGGCGAUACCGGAGCAUCGCGAGGGCGUUAUGAUUGCGGAUCUCGAUGCGAUGGCCGAUAUCGAGCCAAUUGAUGACAUACCUAUUGCUGAUCUCGUUGUAGAGGGUGGCCGUAGACGUGGACGUGGCCGUGCACGAGGACGUGGCCGAGGACGUCGAGGGAGAGGACGAUCGAGAGGCUGAUUGUAUAUUUUUGAUUUAGAUAACUUAGACUUUGUAUAAUAUUAUAUAAUACUGAAUUUAGUGCAUAUUUGUAUAUUUCUCGGGGUUUUUUUUGAUAUUUUUAUCUUGUUGAUUGUAUCUUGUUAUUCCACUCGUGAUCUUGUGUUUCUUGUUGAAAAAUUUGUUAUCGUGAAAAAACUUGCGUCAAACUUGUUGAAAUUUUGUUUAAAAUCAAGCUUAAAACAGCAGCUGCUGCUGUUUGCUCUAAAGACGGUGAACCAUUCACCGUCUUUAGUGCAAAUACACAAAACCGGAGAAAAAAAGGGCUAAGUCCUGGCAUUGGUUUACGCCUAGAUAAGACGGUAGACGAAUCACCGUCUUUGUUAAGACGGUGAACGAGUCACCGCCUUAUCUGUGUUUUGGCCUCUUCACCGUCUUUAGUGCAAAUACACAAAACCGGAGAAAAAAAGGGCUAAGUCCUGGCAUUGGUUUACGCCUAGAUAAGACGGUAGACGAAUCACCGUCUUUGUUAAGACGGUGAACGAGUCACCGCCUUAUCUGUGUUUUGGCCUCUUCACCGUCUUUAGUGCAAAUACACAAAACCGGAGAAAAAAAGGGCUAAGUCCUGGCAUUGGUUUACGCCUAGAUAAGACGGUAGACGAAUCACCGUCUUUGUUAAGACGGUGAACGAGUCACCGCCUUAUCUGUGUUUUGGCCUCUUCACCGUCUUUAGUGCAAAUACACAAAACCGGAGAAAAAAAGGGCCAAGUCCUGGCAUUGGUUUACGCCUAGAUAAGACGGUAGACGAAUCACCGUCUUUGUUAAGACGGUGAACGAGUCACCGCCUUAUCUGUGUUUUGGCCUCUUCACCGUCUUUAGUGCAAAUACACAAAACCGGAGAAAAAAAGGGCCAAGUCCUGGCAUUGGUUUACGCCUAGAUAAGACGGUAGACGAAUCACCGUCUUUGUUAAGACGGUGAACGAGUCACCGCCUUAUCUGUGUUUUGGCCUCUUCACCGUCUUUAGUGCAAAUACACAAAACCGGAGAAAAAAAGGGCCAAGUCCUGGCAUUGGUUUACGCCUAGAUAAGACGGUAGACGAAUCACCGUCUUUGUUAAGACGGUGAACGAGUCACCGCCUUAUCUGUGUUUUGGCCCCUCCCUCGAGGACUUCACCGUCUUAUCUAUGCCCCCCGCUGUCGAUCGGAUUUGUCGGCUAGAUAAGGCGGUAAACGAAUUACCGUCUUUCUUAAAGAGGUAAACGAGUCACCGUCUUCGGCGAAUUGCUGCGCAGACGGUGAUACGCGGGGAAUUGCUGAGGAGUGGAGGUUCCUGAGGAGUGGAGGUUCCACGCCUAGAGAAGACGGUGAACAACUUACCGGCUUCAAGAUUCAGUAAACACGGUGAACGAGUAACCGUCUUAUUUGGGCGGGGGCAACACUGAGAAGGCGGCGAAUGCGGCGAAUGGUGUAAGCCUAGAUAAGGUGGUGGACGAUUCACCGUCUUUGUUAAGACGGUAAACGAGUCACCGCCUUCUGUUGAAUUGCUGCGUAGGCUGAUACGCGGGGAAUUGCUGAGAAGGCGAGGGGUCCACGCCUGAGAAGACGGUUAACGAUUUACCGAUUUACUGUCUUCAGGAGACGGUGAACGAGUCACCGUCUUUAUGAGAAAUGCUGAGGUGGCGGCUGAGGUGGCGAGAGGAGGGUUAGUUUCACAAAUAAAAUUUUCAGAGGGUUAUUUUGCCAAUUAUAAAAUUUCAGAGGGUUAUUUUCGAAAAAAAUUCGAGUCUGGCUUGUCCAUAUGUAUGUAAACUAUUUUCUCAUGAAAUAAUAUUGAAUAUAUCUUUUAAAAUUUAAAAUAUCUAAUUAAUUUUUGAUUGACCAAAAUAUGCCUAUUGAUUAUAAAAAAAUCUUUCAAGUACUACCAUUGUCGUUAAUGGUUUACUAAUCAGAUUGAUGUUUAGAAGUUUUAGGCAUUGAGGAGUAUAUUUGAAUAUUUUAAAUAGCAAUAAGAGUUAUAUCAGCAAGAGCCCCAAAUUUUAUUUUGUAAAAAAGAAACAAAGUUAUAUAUAGAUUGAGAUCACAUAGUAUACAAUGUGCUUGAAGUGAAAAAUUAAUCGUUUUGGAGAAUGAUGUGUGUGGCAAAGUUACAAGCAUUUUUAUUGUAGGGGCAAUUGCUUAUAUAUUCCUAAAAAGUUUUCGACUUUUCAAUUUACUCCUCUUAGAAGGCUAAUAUUGGAAAUACUCUUUUUACACUCCAACCUAUUUCUAAUAUAACCCUAGAGUUAAAAUCUGUUAAUGAACUCUGUUAUCUCUAUAAAAUUACUAUUUUGUCCUUUCAAAUAUGCCCUUUCACCAUCACCGACUUUCUUAUUUGCCCUUAAAGUCAGGAGCACAAAAAAUAUUUUGACUUUUGAUCUUUUUCAAUAUACUCUUCUACCGUCAUCAACAUUUCUUAUUUGCCCUUAAAUUAAGGGUAAAAUUGGUAUUUUAAUUUUUUUUAGCUGUGGUAGAUGUUUAACUCAUAUUUAACUCAAGUUAAUUUAACAAGAGAUAACUGUGGGGGUAUUUUGCAAUAACGGUGGAACAUAUGAAGGAUAUUUUAGAAAGAAAAAAAAAAAAGAAUAAAUCGGAUAUUUUCAAACGUAUGAGAGGUAUAUAGGUAAUUAUCCCUUUAUUGUAAUAGCUAGUUCAUUUUCAUGCUCACGUGGUAUCCUACCAUUGUGCAAUUAAUGUAUUUAUUUGUUCCAUAAUAGGGGAUAAACUGUACAAAUUUUGUUGACACUAGCUUCGUGUAGUCGGGAAAACUCUAUUUAUGGCGCAAGUGUGGGCACAUCCCCAAGGGCUUCCAUUGUGAAGCCCAUAUAUGACAGAUUAAGAUGAUAUCAAAGAAUGGCAAUUGCUUAGAUGGAUCUAGAAAAUCUUAAGAUGGAUAACAAGAAGAACCUAGAUGAGAGAACGAUGAUCUAUGUAUUGUGGCAAAAGUUAAAUUAAUUCCGUCAAGUUAGUCUUAAGUGUCUCCAGUAGAUCGUUUGAGACCGAUCUAAGGUGUUGCUUAUUCUUACCUUGGGAUGAUUAUAUUGGCUGCUGACAAUAUAAUGUCCACAUAUCAGAAUAAGUGCUUUUGCAUAAUUUUUGUCUAAUUAAGUUGAUUAAAUUAUGCAAAACACAUAAUACAAUUAGAACAGGGUGGAGAAGUAAUCACAAUUAUUACCACAACCUACUAAUCCAUCCACAACAGGUAAAGAGUGAUAUAACAAGUUUGAACCACUACAACAUCGUGAAAAAGCAAAUGCAAAAUUCAUUUGCUUCCGAAAAGCUAAAACCGAUCAAAUUCCAAACCUUCAAGAUUAUAGUUCACAUUAUGAAACCUUAAAACUGCAUUAUCAGAUCGAAAAGUGACAAAUAAAGAUUUAUGAACUUACAAACUUCAACUUGAGCGCUAUCGUCCUCUGCGGGUAGGUCCAUCCUACGACUUACAUUUUCCACGACCUCCUGCUCAGCGAGAAUAUAUUUGAAUUUUAUGGUGCCAAAUAUCAUAACUGUUACUGUCCAAUUUUUUUUCUUUGAUCAGAUUAGCAACAACUUAGUUUUGAGGCCAUAUUAUCUCACUAAGUUCACACAGCGCAUAGAAAAAAAUUCAAAAAUUAGCAUAUAUAUAUAUAUAUAUAUAUAUAUAUAUAUAUAUAUAUAUUUACGACAAACGCACAAACGGAAACGAAAUGAUGAACAUAAAAUUAUCAAACCACAACAGAAAGAAAGAACACACAGAUUAACGUGAAAAAUUCUUUGCAGGGAAAAAACCAUGGACGAGGGAGAGAAACUUCACUAUCGACCUCAAAAGGAAUACAUAUUUUCAGAUACAACCAACCACGAUCACACGCCUCUAGGCAAAAACGAAAAAAGAAACUCAUAACGAGUUCGAAUCCGAUUCCGUACCGCGGGGAGCUCCGCCCCCAACGCCCUGCGUAUAUAUAUAAUAUACUAUAUAAUAUAUAUAUAUAUAUAUAAUAGAGGUUGAGCUAGAAUACUCUCGAUAGUAAACGGGCGUUUUACUAUCAAGUUGUUUCGAUGAUAGAGCUUUCAAAUUACGAUCGGCUAACCGUUAAAAUAUGAUCUAAAACCAUUUAAACUACUUAGAAAUUAAAUUUCACGCACUUUCGAUAUUGUUCUUUUAUCCAUCUAGUGAACAAAAAAUAAUGGCUGAAAAUGAAUAUUCUUUAAAAAAUGAUGAUAGGAGUCUUGUAAUCAAGAUCAAGAGUAUAGAUCUUGUUUUAAAUAGUUAAAGAAUUUUCUAACAAAAAUUCAAUUGAUUUGGAUAUCUUUACACCGUUAAACGAGAAAACGUCUCUUAUCCACCAUUAAAAUUACAAAGUUUGAAACCUUUUGAUCAUUAGGCAAAUGAUAUUGAAAAGAUUUGAAAUUUGAUUUCUAAAGACUUCAAGUGGUAUAGAUCAUAUUCAACGGAGCCGAUCGUCAAUUUGGAAGCUCUAUCAUCGAAAACAACUCGAUAGUAAAAUGUUCCGUUUACUAUCGAGAGUAUUCUAGCUCAACUCUAUAUAUAUAUAUAUAUAUAUAUAUAUUAAAUUUUGUUGCAUCUCUAAUUAAACAAAUUGAAAAAUUAGAUCAUAUAUGCGUAAAGAAAAAUUUUGUUGCACUCAUAAUCACAUCACAUAUUCUAAGCCUAAUUUUUGUUGAGAGAAUUGGCCGUAUAUUUGUAAGGGAUCUCAACACCCUAAUAGAUAAGUAGAAGAUUAGGUUUAAUCGCUUUCUGAUUGCUAUCCUAAUAUAGUUAGAAUAUAUCUCUAAUUAUCUUUUAAAAUUAAGGGCGGGAUUAAAUUUAGUCCAAAUAGAAAAGAUAAUGACCAUCGAUCGAGUCCAAUCAUGGGCACAGCAAAAAUAAAUUUCGUAUUUUUCAACCAUUCUACUUUGAAUUAUAUUAGAUAAUAUUUCUGAUAAUGUUGUGACUUUAUUAGUUGUGGGUCAUUGCUAGACCUCGUAAUCUAUAUCCAUACCCGCGAGCUACCCACAAAUUUGCAGAUAUGUGUAUUAGUUUUUUUUACCAAAAAAAUUAUGGGUAAAACGGAUGAGUACUCGUUAAGUGGUGGAUAUUUUGAGCAACCCGCGGGUACCUAUGGAUACCCGCAUAUAUAUAUUUUUAAAUUAAAAAGAUAUAAUCUUUGUAAUAUUGACUCUAUAAUGAUGAAUUUUAUUAAUUUUGUAUCAUAAAAAUUCGGAAUGAUAAAAUACUUUUAUAUUAUGUAAUGUAUGUGUUUUUAAGAUUUUAUAUUAUUUAUUAUAUGUUAUGAUAUUUUAAUAUUUUUUAAAAUUUUAUAUAUGUGUUUUGCAUUUGAAAUGUAUAGUAGUAGAAAAGAAGAAAAAAUUUUACGGGUAACCCGCAUGCCUACCCGCCCAUAUAUGGACUGGUAUAGAUGAAAAAAUAUUAACUAUUCAAAAACGUAUGAAUAAAUUUUAUUCAUAUUUAUAUGACUUGCGGAUAUAAUAACUAGUUUAUAGAUUACCCAAUUACCCUGUUUGUUAGGUCUAAUUGUUGCUCUAACAACAACCUCACGGACAGGCCACAUGGCUAUAAUAUUUCUUUAAUUUGAUUUGAUUGAUAAAGUAUAAUGUUGACAAAAGAUGUUAACUACUGCAAGUAAAGAGGAAACUAAUCAAUUACUUACUACAACCACUCAGCAUGGAUAAUAAUAGUCCUUAUAAAUGGGGACCCACUUUAGAGCUGACUUUAACUCUCCAUUUCCUAAUCUUUAAUAAGGGGUUGUUUAAUUAGUCUAGCUUUGAAAGUCAUUUUUGGAUAAUUUAUGUUGGUUGGGUUUGAAAAAUUAAUUUUAGUUAAAAAAUUGUAGAAUGUUUGGUAGAGUUUAGCAAAAAAGCGAAUUUCUGAAAUAAUUUUAAAAAACUGCUUGGCAAAAAUUUUUUUUUCUAUUUGCAAAUAAUAAAUUUAAAUUUAAAAUUUAAAAUCUAAAAUAAAAUUUAAAUUUGAUAUUUAAAUUUCAAAUCUAAUUUUAAAUUUUAAAAUUUUAAAAGUUUGAAAUUCAAAGAUUGAAAUUUGAAAUUUAAAUUUAGAAUUUUCAAUUUGAAAUUACAUACAAUAUAAUAAUAUUUUCAAAAUAAUAUAGAAUAUAAUUAGUAUAUAUAUAUUAUAUAUUAUAUAAUAUAUUAUAUAUAUAUAUAUAUAUAUAUAUAUAUAUAUAUAUAUAUAUAUAUAUAUAUAUAUAUAUAUAUAUAUAUAUAUAUAUUACAUUAUAUAUAAUAAAAAAUAAUAAUUAAAUAUUUAUGAUGUCAUGCUGAUGUUAUUUGCUCUGAUUAUUUAAUCACUGAUUAUAUCAAGGAAUUUUGAUCGGAUAUAAUAUAUUUGGAUCUUAAAACUGUUUCGAAUUUUAAAACUACAGAUAGUUACAAUGCAGAUGGACUCGGCAUUGACCCAUGUCUUACUCCUACUCGGACUCGGAUUCUACGGACCGACAGACACCCCUUAUAAAAUCUCAAUAACUGCGCAGACGGGGAUUUCCUGUCUACCAUCCUGUGCUCAGCUUACGCUCCUCCGCGCCCCCCAACAAUGUCGGCACCGGCCCCACCAGUAAAGAAAGAUGGCAGCUGCGGUGAUUUAGAAGCCAACUGCGGGAGCAGCGGCACCGCCACCGCCAGCACUCCCCGCAGGCGGAUGGUUUGGAAGCCCCUCUUUGCAUCCUUCUUCGCCGCCCUACUGCUGUGGGCCGCAGACACCUCCGUCGUCCGCGGCGGCGCCACUCGUCCUCCGCCGCUUCAGCUCGGGUACUACCUCGGAUCCUAUUCCGCCCACACGUCCUCCCCCACCACUCCUCCUCCUAUAUUCAAGAAUAGUAGCAGUAUAGUACUAGUUCGGAAGAAACCCAUCUUCUGGAUGUCCGUACCCAUCGCCCCCAACUUCACCACCACCCUCCUCUCCCGCUGGAUGGCCCCCGCCGGGGACUCCCGCACCGCCGACAUCUCCAUCCCCGCCCUCGACGGGCGAGCCUCCCCCGUCGAGCUGUCCGCCGCCGAGAUCCACGAGUUCUCCUUCACGGCAUUGGACGCCGCCGGCCGGCCCCGCAGCCUCGGCGGCGACUACUUCGAGGUCGACCUCUCCGGCCCGUCCUGGAAGUCGCGGCCCCCGCUCCUCGACCGCGGCGACGGCUCCUACUCUCUGCGGCUCCAAGUCGCCCCCGAUUUCGCCGGCGCCUUCAACCUCACCGUCACCCUCCUCUUCAGAAGCUUCGAAGGGCUCAAGAUGUCGCCGGCGCGGCUCAAGUACGGCAGGCAGCUGCGGAAAAUACCCGUCAUUAUAUCCCGUCCGGACCUUAGCACUGGGGACGGGGACGGCAGCGCCUCCUCGCCGCCGGCUCUGCGGACGUGCCGCAGCUCCGAUUUUGGUCAGGAUUUCUGGUGGUCCGGGCGGUGGACGCGGCACGGUGGGAAGGAGAGGGAGGGUGAGUGUGCCGUGGACGACGAGGGGCGCUACCGGUGCCUGGCGCCCGACCACCCGUGCGAGCGGCCGUGGUGCACCGGCCCGCUGGGGGCGCUGGAGAGCGACGGCUGGGUCUACUCGGCCCACUGCUCCUUCAAGAUCUUCGCCGGGGAACAGGCCUGGGACUGCCUCGCGAAGAAGUGGAUCUUCUUCUGGGGCGACUCCAACCACGUCGACACCGUCCGGAACCUGCUGCACUUCGUGCUCGGCCGCGCCGACGUCAAGCAGGUGCCCCGGCGGUUCGACUACAACUUCACGAACCCGAGCAACGCCUCCCAGUCGGUCCGGAUCACGAGCAUAUUCAACGGGCACUGGAACGAGUCCAUGAACUACCUCGGACUGCAGUCCCUGGAGAACAAGGGCUUCCGGCGGCUGCUGUGGAGGUUCUUCUCGGCGGAGGAGCGGGUGCCGGACGUGAUGAUCCUCAACUCCGGCCUGCACGACGGCGU
This 16182-nucleotide long non-coding RNA is filed under the name Ananas comosus (pineapple). RNAcentral's name for it is "long non-coding RNA (ACOM_LNC007562)". Lineage: Eukaryota; Viridiplantae; Streptophyta; Magnoliopsida; Poales; Bromeliaceae. The record is from RNAcentral.